RNAcentral lists this long non-coding RNA (10504 nucleotides) under Homo sapiens (human). RNAcentral's name for it is "non-protein coding MIR31HG:17". The stretch from base 274 to 353 matches the Rfam family "mir-31 microRNA precursor family". The record is from RNAcentral. Lineage: Eukaryota; Metazoa; Chordata; Mammalia; Primates; Hominidae.
AGGUUCCACGUCCGGCGCCUGGAGAAGGAAGACGCGCGUCCCCGGCCGCGGCGCCGAAGCCGGCUGGGGGACCGCCUGGUCCCGGGCCAGAGCUGGGAGGCGGUGUUCCGUGAGCCGCCUGGUCUGGGGUGCGGGGGGCGGGAAGCGGCCCCUUCGUGUGCGCUUGGGCGAGGCCGGGCGGCGCUUCUGUCCUCCUACUCGGACCCGCAGGUGAAAGGAAAAAUUUUGGAAAAGUAAAACACUGAAGAGUCAUAGUAUUCUCCUGUAACUUGGAACUGGAGAGGAGGCAAGAUGCUGGCAUAGCUGUUGAACUGGGAACCUGCUAUGCCAACAUAUUGCCAUCUUUCCUGUCUGACAGCAGCCAUGGCCACCUGCAUGCCAGUCCUUCGUGUAUUGCUGUGUAUGUGCGCCCUUCCUUGGAUGUGGAUUUCCAUGACAUGGCCUUUCUCACCUUCCUUACUUCCUGUCCUGCUAUGUAUUGUGUCCUACCAUGAAUUCACUCCAUGCUAGCCACAUUGGCCUGUAUGGCUAUUCCUUGGACACACCUAGGAUGUUCUUGCCUCUUAGCUUGCCUACCUUUCUCUCAUCAUUUGGGCCUCAGCGAGGAUAUCAUCUCCUCAGAGAAGCCUUCUGUGACCAUGCUAUCUAAAAUACUCCAGCACUUCAGUCACCCUUUAUCCCAUUACUCUGCUUUUUCAGAAACAUUGGUGCUCCCUGAAACGUAUUUGUUUACUUGCUUAGUGUCUUUUCUCCCGCACUACCAUGUAAGCUUCUUGAGGGUUAGGGACCUUGUUAGGGAUAACCACUGUAUCCUUAGAGUGUGACACAUAGUAGGUUCUCAAUACAUAUUUUUGAAACUCUACCCUGAUGCAAAAGAGAUAUCAAAUAAUUAUAGUUUUUGCAUUAUAAAUGUCUUUGGUGAAAUCCCUGGCACAAAACUAAUAAUAAAGAAAUAAACAGAUAAUGUUGAGUUCUGGGCCUGCAAACCUAACUCUUUAAAGCAGUCACAGUAAAUGUGUCAUUGGAUCCAUAGACUUGUGGAAGUCAGCAUAUUUUAUUGGGAAAAGCAUGAGCUUCAAAGUAAAACUUAUGGUCAAAUCUCAUUACUGGUGCGUUCUUAAGUCAUUUAACCUCUGAGCCACAGUUUACACAAAUGUAAAAUUAGAGUAAUAAUAGUGACUCCAUAGGACCCUCAAGAUAAGGAAAUAAGGUAUUUUAGUCAGAUGAUUCUUAUCACAUGUCUAAAAAUUUAGUGUCUCUAAAAUUCUUGAUAUAUGCAUACCAGUAGACACUCAACACAUUUAUUUCACUACUAAGAAAAAAGUUUUCUUUAGUUAGAGACAAGGGAUUUUAUGUGAAAUGUGUGGAAAUUCUAUGCCAGAACGAUAGUACAUGUAGAAUUCUUUGUAAAGAUAGAAAUCUUGAGAGACCAAGGAGUUAAUUGUCAAGGAUCUCAAGUUCUUCUCCUGGUUAGUUCACAUUCCUCAUCUUCCUUUGUUUCUGGAGUUACUCAUUAUCUGUAGAUCUCUUUUAAAAGUGGUUUUUACACAUUCACUUUAAAGAGUAAGAAUGUUCAGUAAAUACAAUUGUAUUUUAAUGUUUAAUAAAUACUAAUGUUUAAUAAAUACUGUUUGAUGUUUCAUGUUUUUAAGCAUUGAAGUUUUAAUAAAAAGCUUUGCUUUUAAUAAAUAAAAUUUCAUGUUAAUUUUAAUGCUUUUCCAAGAAAUAAAGUAGCAGUCACUAUUCUCGAUUGUCAUUAUUUAUUAUUACUCAGGGUAUUAAAACAUACAGAAAGAUCACAUUAUACCUUCAUUUCAUGCCUCUUGGAGUAUAUUAAACUAAGCUGCUAAUUUAACAAAAAUGUGUAGCACAAAAGUGAGGUAGUUUUAGUCUACAACUUUUAUAAGCAUCUCUUUAUAUAAGGAUAAUUUGUUUAAAGACAUCAUUGUACAAGCUGAUCUUGCCUAUGAAGGCUUUUAAGAACUCACAAAACAGCUUUAGCUGAAAAUUAGAUUCACAGUGCCUUAUCCAUUCGUUAUAUUAAUGGUAAUUUGUUGCAGGGUCAAUUGGCCAGGACAUACAGUUUAUUACAAGAACUGGUUUAUUUAUUUUACCUAUAACUUAGUUUUAAAAACUUGUUUCAUCAGUUUAUUUGGGCUUCUUUUGCCUUUUGCAGAGUUCCAUGUACCCUCAUCUACAUCAGUUACAGACAUAUCCAGUGCCCCCUUGACCUCAAUGUAGUUGAUGAGCUGGGUUCCAUGUGUGGAAAUGAACAUUGCUUGCCAAGCGCCAUCCUCCAUAGCUGAAACGUGUUUUACUCUAAUUACUAAACACCUGAAGCUUCUUUUUUGAUUCGAAGUGAACAAUGUUUGUGGGGAGAAACCCAAACCCCUAAAACUUCAGAUUUAGGAACAUCAGUGUAAGAGACUAAAAUAAUAAUUAAUAUUCUGAAGUGUCCAAUAACUUCUUGAAGUCAGUGGUUUUUAAACUUCAUUGUUGUAUUAUCACCUAGAGAGCUUGUUUAAAAAUGCAGAUUCCCAAACCAUUCCCUAGACAUUCUAUUUAAUGCAUCUUGACUGAGACUUCAAAUCUUCAUUUUUAAUAAGCAUCCUCCUAUUGAUUCUGAUCCAGCUUGACAACUGUGCUUUGAGGCCGGGUGUGGUGGCUCACGCCUGUAAUCCCAGCACUUUGGGAGGCUGAGGCAGGUGGAUCACCUGAGGUCAGGAGUUCGAGACCAGCCAGGCCAACACAGUGAAACCCCGUCUCUACUAAAAAUAGAAAAAUUAGCCAGGUGCAAUGGCACGCGCCUGUAAUCCCAGCUACUUGGGAGGCUGAGGCAGGAGAAUUGCUUGAGCCAGUGAGGUGGAGGUUGCGGUGAGCUGAGAUCACGCCACUGUACUCUAGCGUGGGUGACAGAGCGAGACUCCAUCUCAAGAAUAUGUAUAUAUAUAUGUAUACAUAUUCUCUAGAAUAUAUAUAUGUGUGUGUGUGUAUAUAUAUACUGUCCUAAGUCUUAUACAAUUCCCAGUAUAGAACUUGGUCGUGGUCUUAAAUGCAGCCUGCUUUCCGACUGUAUCUGUGCUUAUGAAAAACUGGAAAAAGGCUUUGUAAUUGUCCUUCUUACACUGAGCCUUACAUAAACAGCCUUAUAACUAUUCACAGGAGCACUCACUGCACCAUGUAUGGGGUGAUGGUGAUACGCUUCCACAGAGUUUUUAACUUCAAUGCUUUUUUUCUCCAUUGGCUCAUAUUAUAAUUUUCAAGAUGUUUUCUUUUCUUUUCUGAUUGCCUUGAUACUGACCCAAAUCCUUUACCUCUAAAUAUUCUUUCUCUAGGAUUUUUGUCAAAUUGUAAAUGAUAUAUGAGCUCUUUUCGGCUACAGACUAGGUCGAAUUAUGCAGAAGGAAUUUUCAAGAUUUUUAGGACUCUUACUGUGAUAAGUCUUUCUGUAAACUAAAGGAUCAUAUCUUGAGCUAUUUCUUAUUUUUGCAGAUUUUAAAAAAUUUGAGAUGUCUUUUCCUUUAUGAGGUAGUGUAGUGUAGUAGUAGGAGUGUCAGAAUGAAAUGCACAAAGAUCUGGGUCCUAGUCCCAUUUCUGCCAUUUUGUAACCAUGUACAUGAGUUGGGGCAGAUCGUUUAAUCUGUUUUCUUAUUUGUAAAUUGGGGGUAAUAGUAGAAGAGAUUAUAUGGUGUAUUAGAAAAGAGGGAAAAGCAAAAUACAGCUGUGAAAACUAUGUAAGCAAAUUGGAAGACAAUUUAUAAAAAAAGUUGGGUUUUUUUAGUAAUUGUAUUUAAAUUUAUUUCAGUGUUUUAUUGUUUUAUGUUGUUUUUGUCUAACUUAAAUGUGAGAAAAAAAGCAGAGUUCUGGAUAGAAGGCAGAUAACCUUUGUUCUCAUCCAACCUGAAGCACUUAUUUGCUAAAUAAUUCCAGUCAAAAACAGAAGAAACGUGGUAUUUUAGUUUUAUCUUGAGGAAAGGUCCUGCUUCUCUUACUCUAUCUAAAAGCCUAGAAAUAAAAUGAUAAUUAUUCUAUGACUCAUAUACUUGCUUUUUAUGUUAUUGGCUUAUUAUGAGACUCAAAUCAGGUAAGGUAUAUAAAACUGCUUUGAGAAUGGUAAGAAGCUGUACAAAUAAAAGUUCUAAGAUAUGGCUUAUAAAUUCUUUUCAACCCUCCGUUUUUCCUUUCACUCCUACAAAAGUUUGCUUUUGAAAUGAUUAAAAUUUUUAAAAAAUUAAAAUAUUUUAUUCUAAGCCUGGCUAUACUGUUUUAAUUUGUAGGAUUUUAAUCGUUUACCAUUGUAUUUGUAGCAGCUAGACUGAUAGGAGAUUUGUGUUGUUGAGUCCAUCCCCUUUCAGGUAUCUCAUCUAGGAAUGCAGAAGCAGAAAGGUAGGGCAGACUGGCUGGAUCCACUAGAAUGGAUUUCCUACUGAAUCAAUACUUGUCUCAAAACCAUAUUAAAGCGAGGAACAGUGGCAUGCACCUAUAAUCCCAGCUACUUGGGAGGCUGAGGUGGGAGGAUGGCUGCAUCCCAGGAAUUAAGGCCAGCCUGAGUAACAUAGCAAGACCCUGUCUUGUAAAACAAACAAAACCAAAGCAUUAAAACCAAAGUACUUUUAGUUUUCACUGAAACCUACAUGAUGUUCUUAUUUCUAUAUAAUGUUUUGUAUAUUAAUAUACAUUAGAAAAAUACACAGCAUCUCCUUUUAAAAGUAAAUUUGUUUUAAUAUUUUUAAAAUUAAUUUAAAUAAAAUGUUAAGGCAUUUAUAGUCAAGGAAUAUGACAAAAAUUGUGAAAGUGCUGCUCAAGUAGCCAAACUUUGGGAAAUCUAAUUGGAAUGUGGGUAAGCAAGAUCCUCCUGUCGCGUAGCUGGGGGAGACUUUAUAGAUAACACGUUAGAUGUUACCUAAGGUUUCUUGAAUGCAUGGUUCAGUUUAAGAAGUAUGUUUAGUUAUUACUCUUGGAUGAAGAAAAUAUUAGUUUUAAGUGAGUGUUAAUGGACUUUGCCCAUGAACUGCAUACAUGGUCAUAUAUUUUUACUGUUAAGAAUUACUGAUAUGUCCCAGAUGUAAAGAUCAUAGUUUUUAUGUCCUUGAGAGCAAAGCCCAGUUGGUAAAUGAUAAGAAAGUUCAUUAUAAGUUCAUUAGUCAAUCUGAGUAAGUAUUUGAGUAAGUAUCAGGGCAGGUGUGUGUCCUUAUUUGAAGAUAAGAUUACCAAAGAGUGGCAGUUUACACUGUCUGAGCAGGCACAUAAUCUACAUGUAUCCAACAAAAGCAGAAACCCUUUCUGUCAAUAAAGUUAAUUUGAUAAGUUUAGGAGUCAAAAUCUGGAAGUCCAAAAAGAUGCAUAGUGAGGAGAAUCAUCAAGCAUGCAUGAGGAAACCAACUGGGAUGGCAUUACAGGAAAAUGAUGUAGUUACUUGGAAGCAAGCCACCUUCGUGGUUUGCAUUCUUUGGAAAUAUGUUCUAUCUAAUUGCUGAACUUUGCAAAAAAAUGAGUGAUUUGACUUGCUGAUUCCAAGUUAAUUACUUGGCCAUUGAAAGUUUUUAUAGAAGAGCAUUCAUGGAAUUUGUGUGACCCAGAAUGAUCCCUGCCUGUGUUUUCUCACCUGCCUUUCUUCUUGCAAACCUUUCCUGAUUUGUAAAACGUGUAUAAGAAACUCAAAUAUUGGACUUUGGAGACUUGUCAUAAAAAAUUGUGUUGAGCUAUUGCAGGAUCUUGGAGAGACAGAGGUUAUCUUGGGAAGGAGAUCCAGGUCUAGUGUACUUGAAAAAACAAUCGGUACUUGAGAAUGAAAAAGAGGUAAAAAAAACAAAGGAAGCAAAUAUAAUUGGCGGUAAGGUCACAAAUCCAAUAAUAAGAGAAAGCCCAUAUAUUAAAAUUGAAAUAUUAGAGUCUAUAGAUGCAUAUUUCCCUAAAUGUAACACAUUCAAAGUUAUUACAUGGUGCUUAUAAUUAUUUUGAAUUAGAUAACUCUUCUCUGCAUCAUUACCUGAAUUGAAUAUAAAAGUUCUAGCAGUUUUAUUAGAAGCACAGAAAGCCUUUUCCUGACUUCCUGUGCCAUGACCUAGAUUUUUUCAGUUAUUUAUUCAUCAUUCAGUAUUUAUUCAGCACCUCCCAUGUACCAUACAUAGUCCGUACCUUUCUAUGACUUGCAGUCUAAGAAAAAAGAUAACCAUUGCAAGUUUGAUUAUUAUGGCGAAGGACUUUCUUGUUUGUGUAUGGAAACAUAACAAAGACACCUAAUUUAGACAGGAAGUGGUAAAGGAAAACCACUUUAAGGAAGAAAUAUUAUUUAAGUUCAGGCAAAAAAAAAAAAAAAAAAAAAGGGGGGGUCGCGGGGCAGGGGAAGAGUAUCCCAGACAGCAUAUGUGAGAGCUGUGAAGCUAGAAAUCUUGGCACAUCAACAACUGACAUGUCUGGAGUGUUGAGAAUAGCGGUGAAAAGAGGAAAUGGGGUGCGCAAUACACGGACGGGGCCCAACACAGGUCUCCUAAGCCUUAUGAAAAGUACAAGUAAUAUCAUAAGUUAGAUGAGGGGCCAUUGAAGGAUUUAAUGUCACUGUCUCAUGAAACAAAACUUUUUUCUUGGAUAUUCACAUUCUCUCCACAGGUUUAUUCACUUCUGCCCUCUCGUGUAUCUAAAAAUUAAACUUCCCUGGAUGCUGUCACUCCUCUUUGUUACUGGCCCAUCCAUCAUAUUCUCUUUGUGCCCUAACUUCUAGCAAAAAGAGCUAAUAUUUAUUGCAUCUGUUUCUUCAUGACCCGUUACAAUCUAUCCUCUGUUCUCAUAAUUAGAUUGGAACUGCUGCUUCCAAAGGUGAGGUGUUCAUGACUGAAUCAUCAGCGAACCCAGUAGUCACUCGCAUUGUUGACCAUUAGUUCCCUCAAGGCUCCCUUUUUGAUGUUCAUGGCACUACUCUUAUUCAUCACAUUUCUAACAACUGUCUUCUCAGUCUUCUCUCUGACUAGUCACUGAAUUCACCCUUCCUCUUAAAGCAGAUUUUCAAUAGUUUUCCAAUCUUUUAAAUCUUGAUUUCUCUUUCUUCCUAGGGCAUCUGUAUCUACCAUUUGGUUUUCAGCUCUUACACACACUGAAGAUGUGCUACCUAACAUUUUUAGUCCAGACUUCUCUGCUUUACUGCAGUUUUGCAUUUUCUAGCUGCUUUUUAAAUCCCCCCAAAUGGCUGUGCCAUUUGUACCACAAACUCAAUCCUUAGAAAACCAGAAUCCUACUGCAAUCUAAAUGGCUUCUUGUCUUAUCUUGGUUAAAAGCUUUGCCAAGCAUUCACAUUGGGAACCUGAAUGUUACCUUUCAUUUUUUUUCUCACCUACUCUCACACCUCCUCCCCCCAUCUAAUCAUGUGUCAAAUCCUGUUGACUACAUCUCUGCAGUGUCUCUCAGGUAGUCACUGCUUCCCAUUACUGCUGCCAUUGCCUUUGUUCAUACCCAGCUCACAAGCAGCCAGCUUAAAAUCUUCUAAUUCAUCUCCCAGCCUCUAUUUCCUGCCUUUCUCCCAAUCUGAACCUGUUUUCCAUGUCUGCUAGAGUUAUCCUCCUAAAACAUACAUUUGAUGAUCUUAGUGUCUUGCUUUUUUACUUAAUAAAGUCAUAACUCCUUAGCCUUAUAAUUAAUGUGCUCCACAAAUUUGCACCAAACCAUUUUUCCUCUUGCAUCUCCCAGGUACCUGUGCCCUAACCAAAGCAGACUGUUCUAAAAAUCUAACACACAUUUACAUCGUCAUGCCAUUUUGUGUAUUUUUCCAUGUUUCUCUUUUUACUGAAGAACUGCCCAUCCCAUAAUGCCCAGUGAAGAUUACAUUUCUUUGAUGAAAUCUUCCCUGAUCCUCUUAAAUAAAAUUGUUUUUUUCCUAUGUGUCCCAAAAGCAUUGUAUGUGAUUCAAUCAUAUAAAGCAUUUGUUUCUGUAAAACAUCAUUGUGCACCUGCCGUGUUUAAAGGGCAGAAUUUAUUCUUCAGCUUAUUCGUGGUUGUGAGGGAGAAAAAAGAGAUCCUCCUCUAAGUAUUGUUUGAAGAUAGAGUGCAUGUCUUCUCUGUAUAUUUUUAUCUUCACAGUAUCUAGUACAAAACCUUGCACAUAUAACACAUUUGUUGAAUAUCUGUCAUAGCAAUUAUCAUUUGUUCUGUUUCAUAUACAAAGUACUUCCAAGGAGUCAGCUUUUAAGGUGUAAACACACACACACACAGACACACACGCACACACACACACACAAUGCUGCAGUUGCUUUCAAUAAAUGAGGACAUAUUUCUCUGCUCAGGCUUUCCAGCAGUGCUUUAUUAUAUAAGCUAUUCUGGUUAGCUCUAUUUUAUGGAUCAGAUGCUUGCCCUGGCUACCUUGAGGAGAAGGGGUCCAGUGUAAGAAUUUGUAAGGCCUGGGACCAGAUGAUGUCAGGAACCAAAGCAGCUUUAAGGGUAUGCUCUUUUCCUCACCUGUCAUUUUCUUUAUGACUAUGCUCAAUGCUUCCCUGCUCCCCUCUGAGAGUCUUUUUCACUUUAUCUUUUUUUUACUCGUUUUUCUCUUACCAUAGACUUGUCUUAGAGAGAAUUGUAUGGGUACCAUCAUCUGUCUCUACUUCAUGACCUUUCAGCUUCACCUCCCACCGUUAAUUGUAGCAGUCUUUACCUGUCCCAGUUACAGUUCCCAAGAGAGAAACUGAUGGGCCCAGUUCUCCUUUUGGACCAGUCCUCAUUAUAGGUUUCUCGCAUAGGCAGCCCUUUGGUCAUAUAUACCACCUCUGGUCCAACCACCUCCAGCCUGCUACACAACGUGGCUGGCUCAGUCAUAGGAAUUAUGAAUGGGGUAGUUCCUCUUCAUAAGGGAUGUGAGCCUUUUCUGCCUACACUCACCAAAUGCCAUCACUGGAUAGAAGUAUUUAUAUAUCUAAGUACACUUAAAAAAUUUGAAUUAUUUUCCUACUCUCAUAUCUUAACAGAACUUCCACAAACACUAAAAUAGUUGUAUUGAUUUAAAAAAUUAUGACCCCAAUUAUUGAUUCUCUCUUUUUCAUAAUGUGCCUUGUCCUUCAAGCCACACACUUAACAAGAUUUAGGAUUGCUAACAUUCGAAAAAGUCUUAAAUUUUAAAGAUUCUUUUUCUUUAUUCUUCCUCACCUUUUCUAAAUAGAGCCCAUGUAAAUUCCCAACAUUUCGUGUUUGCCCUCUCUUUUACUAUCUCUUAUUUUAUUGCUUCCAAUAAUUUUAGAUGAACUCUGGAGAAGAUGUGAGGCUGAGUCUCUUCACUUUGCGCUCAACUUUAGGUCAAGUUCUUUUGACACACCACAAAUGGAUUUUAUGUUCAGUGAUUUGCUGAGUGAAGAAGUUAGAGAAGCCAUGAAAAUAAAAAGGAUUUCUCUAGAUUAAAGUCAUCCAGUCUAAUAGUCUGUGAAAUUUCCAAGAUUUUUCAACUUUGAUUUCAUUCCUAAGUUAUGUAAUACCAAAUAUCUCAGUAAAUCAUUUUAUACCUAUAGCAUGAAUAUCCCAUUUCUAAUUUAAUCUCAUCUUUUGCUUGUCUUCAUGUGCUCCUGAAAACAGCCUUUUAUGGCUGUACCCAGAAUCAGUUUAGCAUUCCUUUAUCCUAGUCUUCUUUAAUUUUUUAAACAUUAAUGGACUGUUUUUAAAAGUAGUAAUCAAGCAGCAUGCUGAUAAUGCAAAGUCUUCCAUGGCAUUUCUCUUGCCUUUAGCUAAUAUUUGUAAUUCUUUGUUAAUAUGUUUUGGUAUGUGUGUUUUUUUCUGCAGCUGUUAGGACAUGGCAAAAUUACAGUUGAGUCUAAAAACUAGCAACUUCUUGUUCUUCUCAGGAAAGCCAAGAAAAACGAUAUAAUGAAACAUUAAAACCAAUCUCUAAGGAAUCAAAUGUGGAAUAUCUAGGUUUCAGUGCUAUCAUUGGUAGGCACUCAGUAAAUAUUUGUUAAAAUGACUGACAGAAUUUUUAUUAAGUGAAUAGAAUUUAUGAUCAUUUCAAACCCUUACAAUCUAGGUUUCAAAGGCAAAGCAAGUAGGUAAAAAUCAAGUUUCUUUUUGGAGACACAUAAGGCACAACUAAUGACAGCACUGACUUCCCGAAAAGUCUCGAAGUUAAUUGUGUAUCACUCACUAGAACGUCAUCCUUUGAAAAGACAGCCAACGACAUCCACAUUGCCUUGCAUGCAAUGCCCUACAUUUCCACGGACCACAUCCAGUGUCCUCAUUUCUGUUUGAGGCCCAGGGGAAGCAUGCCUGGUCUUUCUCUUUAUUUCACAGCUUGAAAUUACCCAUCUGCCAAUAGAUCAAUAGUAUUAGUCUAUUGUCUUGUAACUUCUUUAAGGGAAAGAACAUCUAGGAGUCAUGGUGCUUUUAACAGAACACGAUGAAGUAUUGCUAUGACAACCUUAAUUGUAUAUUAUAGGCAAAUCAGAUACCACCUUGAGAAGACAAGAUAAACAAUUGCCUGCACUAAUGGCUUAAGACAAAUUUAUGAGAAAAAAAUGCUUAUAAUUUAGAAAGCUGUAUC